This 168-nucleotide ribosomal RNA is filed under the name Archidendron quocense. RNAcentral's name for it is "5.8S ribosomal RNA". It matches the Rfam family "5.8S ribosomal RNA". Rfam says of the family: 5.8S ribosomal RNA (5.8S rRNA) is a component of the large subunit of the eukaryotic ribosome. It is transcribed by RNA polymerase I as part of the 45S precursor that also contains 18S and 28S rRNA. The record is from RNAcentral. Lineage: Eukaryota; Viridiplantae; Streptophyta; Magnoliopsida; Fabales; Fabaceae.
GACUCUCGGCAACGGAUAUCUCGGCUCUCGCAUCGAUGAAGAACGUAGCGAAAUGCGAUACUUGGUGUGAAUUGCAGAAUCCCGUGAACCAUCGAGUCUUUGAACGCAAGUUGCGCCCGAAGCCUUUAGGCCGAGGGCACGUCUGCCUGGGUGUCACGCAACGUCGCC